Molecule: ribosomal RNA, 429 nt
Filed under: uncultured bacterium
Lineage: Bacteria
Description: bacterial SSU rRNA
Rfam family: Bacterial small subunit ribosomal RNA
Source: RNAcentral
AGAGUUUGAUCCUGGCUCAGGACGAACGCUGGCGGCGUGCUUAACACAUGCAAGUCGAACGAACUCCAUCCGGCAGCAAUGCCGGUGAAGAGCUAAGUGGCGAACGGGUGAGUAACACGUGAGCAACCUGCCCCGAAGACCGGGAUAACAGCGGGAAACCGCUGCUAAUACCGGAUACCCCCACCGGAUCGCAUGGUCUGGUGAGGAAAGGAUUCUGCUUCGGGAGGGACUCGCGGCCUAUCAGCUUGUUGGUGAGGUAACGGCCCACCAAGGCGACGACGGGUAGCUGGUCUGAGAGGACGAUCAGCCACACUGGGACUGAGACACGGCCCAGACUCCUACGGGAGGCAGCAGUGGGGAAUCUUGCGCAAUGGGCGAAAGCCUGACGCAGCAACGCCGCGUGCGGGAUGAAGGCCUUCGGGUUGUAAA